GGAUGCGUGCCAGGGAUUUGUGCAGCUUCCUGGCUUUGCUGAUAAAGAAGGGCCACUGUGAGGUAAAACCUCUGCUCUCUCCCAACACGUUUCCCCUGCGGCUGCCCAGAAACAAGGGACCGAGAAGACAAGGAAAACAUGGAGACCGCGGCACCACAGCCAACUGCCUGCGCAGGAGGAGGCCUCUGAAGAGUUUGUGCACUUCUGCAUUUAGAAAUGUGAGCUUUGAGCCCAGGCAUUUGCAUCAGCGGGUGGAAAGUAUGAGAAAGCACAUCUAAUGCUGAAAGUUAAUGAUAGCAUUUGACCGUGUUAACCAGUAAAUGACAAGGCAGGGUCACGGGAGUUAAUUAUUCAAGCAGAACAUGAAAGAUUUUGCAGCAAAAAAAAGCCUCAAGCUGACUAGGAAGGCACCUGUGACAUGAAGGCGAGAGCUUCAGGAGAGAAGCAAUCUGGUUUAGAGGGGUUCAGCUUCGGGAGAAGGGGGCUCUCGCCUCAGCUCCCGACCUCCAGUGAGAUGUGGGGCCGCUCUCCUCGCCUCUAGGAAGACAAUCUUUGACCCUUUCCUGGACUAGGAAUGGAAGCCAACUGAAGCAGCAGGAUGCUGUUUUCUUCCAAAACUACUUGGUGGUGCUCUCUUUUGAUGGCAUUGCAGGCAUCAUGCAAGGCAGGGUGAUUUCAAGCUACUUUGCUAAUCUGCCUUCAUCAACCUAUACCAAUGGUGAUAACCACUACUUAAUAUGUGUUUCCAAUCUUCGCUGCACCGUUCUUGUACUCAUUCCCUAGGAAUAAUUACAGCUGGUGGUUACAGAUUUUCAGCUCAACAUUAUAUGUCCCAGAGCAGGCAGAGGGGAUGAAGAGGGGCUCUGCACCAUCCUCUCUUGAUGCCAACCUGCUUAUUUUAUUGAGUAUCUCUACGGGGAAACUUUCAGUCUGUUUUGAGUUUUCCUUCCUUCUGUAAAGCUACUGGUUUUAGAUAGUGUGGCAGUGGUACAUGCUGUCACAUAAGUGUUGGAACUUAGAUGUGCCUGAGCAACCUUUAUAGUCAUUGGACAGGAUUCAGGGGCAACAGUCACAUAUUUACUGCAUUUUUAAGGAACUGCGAGGUAUCCACAGUUCUGCCUCCCUGUCUAGCCUCCAGCUGCCACUGUGGAAGGGUCUUCUGUGGGUCAGUCCUCGGUCACAUCUGCCACCUCCACAUGGAUCUCCUGGAUACCAUAAGUGUUCUCAAACAGACUAGAUCCUUAUCUGCAGACAAAUAAAUUAAGCUCCUAUCUCACAUCAUCUAGCUCUGUGUAUAUUUACUGGUAAGAAAUAGGUGUCUGUUUAUUUCACCUGUCUGAGAAUGGGCUGGUGUGUCCCCUGGGGACCCCUGUCCCUAGCCAUUGAUUUAAUAGGAAUUUAGGUGAGCAGAUGAGGUGUGAUGACUUAUUUUCAGAUGGCUAUAGUGAGGUGAAAUGAAUCCCAUCCAUACUGGCACAUGAUUAAUGUUGGAACAGUAAGCACCUUGCACUUUGCUCUUAAAUGUCAUAAUAAUUUUGGUUAGAUUUAAUGUGUUUUAAAAAGUGUUCCUGCUUUUAUUAAAUUGAUCCUUGUUAAUUAUAAUCCAAUAAAUUUUAGAAGAGGCUUUAAAGGGUAAUGAUUUAUGUAUCUAUGUUCAAAAAUCAGAAAUAUCAGACAGCAAGCCAGCAAACUCCUACUCAAUUCAGAACAUGCAUUUGAGAAGUGAUUUCAAAUCUCUGUGCAAGUCAAAUAGAGGGAGAAGUAUGUACAAGACAUAUUGCUAUAUUGUGACAAACCAUAAAGAAGCUUUCAGCUAUAUAGCAUCUUGACAGGCUGUUCAAAAUCAAGUGUUUAACCUCACUCCUUACCUUGAUAAUCAGGUUUCUCUCUUUGCUUCACACAUAUAUUAUGCCAUACUUAACACACAAAAGAAAAAAGAAUGGUAAUAUUUUCUUUAUUGAGAGCCAACUUUGUCGUGAUGCACCCCAUCACUCUUCUUGUCUUUUAUCAUAAGAAAAGCAUCCUGUACUUGCUUGUCUAGCAAACAGAUCUUUCCUAGCAGUAGUCCUGAUAUCCAGAAUAGGGAUUUAUGAGGCCAGGAAGCAAAGUGUAGUCUGUCCCCUCAAGAAUAACUGCUAGAGUGUUAACCUGCCAAAAAAAAAAAACCCCAACACCAAACCCAAAAUCCAACAAAAAAAACACCAACCAAAACCCAAGGAAAAAAACCCCAAACAUAACAUUUUUUUCUUAAGUCCUGUCUCUCUAAAGAUAUAGACUUUACUUACUUCCUCCGAGCAGUCAGUGUUCACAAUAGUGACACAACCUCACUAAUCCAUUAAUGCUCAUAAAACUCCAAAACAGUACUCACAGAGUGUUUAUAGACUCAAAAAUAGAGGUCAGUGCAUGUGCCUGUUAUAAACACCACCUUUUUUGCAAUGUUCAUUCCACAAAUUUAGUUAUUGAUUGCUCAGUCACACCUGGCAGGCUGUGUCCAGUCUUUCUGGACAAUAAAUACCUACAAGACCUGGUGAUUUUCAUGCUUUAUCUACAUCAUCUAUUUUUCUUAGGUUGCCCUAUUCUGAUCACUACUCCAACAGCUGCUGCAGUUACUGGAUUUCUUCUGGUAUAUCCCACUCAGCUGCUGUGUCUCAAAAGAAUUCUUCUGGUCUGGUGAGGAUCCGCCUGUGAGAAGUUAGGAGUGAGGAGAUGCAGGGAAAUAUCUGAAAUGUCUAAAAAAAUCGAGGAAAAAUUGAAUUCUACCAGAUAAAAUGAAAAUAACUGUGCAAAUUUAGCUCUGAAUUAUCAUAAUUCUCUUAGUGCAUUAUUGGUAUUUCACAGCUCGUUACAAAAAUGCCUCAGACAGGGCACUGUGAGGAAAUGAAUGGUGAUACUUGUCCAUAAUGUCUUGGACUUUUUUUAGAAAGAUGCAUGUCACAGGCAUAGGCAGCGUGUGCAGUGUUUGCAUCAGUGCUGGUGGCUGCAUGCUACCAAUAAAACUUUCACGGGUUAGAAAUGGUCUGAGGUGGUUUCUGGUAUUGUUUUUCCUAGUUAGGGAAAUACAGGACCUGGGACUACUUCCACUGACUAAAAUGACAGCAAGAAUCAGGAAAAAAAUAAGCUGACAGACACAAUGAUUCUCACGAUUAUAAUUCCUCUCAGAAUCAGUUUUCUGUUGUCCUGCACCUAAGACCAAGGUGUAGCUUAUGUAUAUAAUGAAAAGCAGGAAGAAACAGGUGAAACUUUUGGGUUAAUUACAUGCUGAAUGUGUCAACUGCAGAUAUCUAUAACAAAUAUAUUAAUAUUAAAUAUCAUAUAUGUAAUAUUAUAUAUACACUGCUACACAUUGGUUUUGACUGUGUAAUUCUUCAGCAUUUCUCUAGAUCAAUUGUCCUCAAAUCACUGUAUUUCUGAGUAGAUCCCUGGCUUUAUGGCCAAAUUAAGUGAAGGCAUAAUAAGUGUAACAGAGGAAAGUGAUUUUUUUACUUCAGUUGAUCACCAAUUUAUACCAGUACUCUAUGCUCUAUUUGUUAAAAAAAAAAAGUCUAAAAAUAGCCAUUACUAGCAAUAGGAACUUUGGAUGAGGGGACCAGCUUAAAGAAAAUCUGAAAAUGAAUGUGUCUUUUGAAAGCACCUAUGCUAUUCAAAGGUCAGGUACAUGCUGCUCUUUCCUUGCUUCUUAAUAACAAAGCAGUAAGCUUGUUUCAUGGUAACAAUAAUAGCCACUGUGCCAAAUCCAAUCCAGCACUCUACGUACAGCGAUACUGACAUCUGACGAUAUUUGUGACAAAUUAUUAUGGUCUUCCAUCAUCAAAGUGCAGUAAAAAUCCAAGGCUGCAGUAAAAAUUAAUCUGGCCAAGACACUGGCCUAUAGUUAUUCCACCACCGCCCCGCCCCCCUCCCCCCCCCCCCCCCGCAAAAUUGAUGUAUGCAAGUCAUCAGACAUGACUUUGUGUGGGUAUUAGAUGUACAUAAAGCUUGCGGAGAGAAACAGGGGGUUGCUACAAAAUACUCAGAAACCAACUACUUAAAGUGCACCUUUUUACACCUCCUGUGUCAUUGCAGACAGUACCACAAGUAAGUGACCUAGCAAUAUCUAGGAUGUUUUGAAAACCUCCCACCAGUGAGCUGGCAACAACAUUUCACCUUUCAUACGGAGACUACUGAUUCAAAGUCUGGCCUGAGUUAAUCUGACCAAGAAAAUUAUUCUAAUUUAAUUGCUGAUUUGAAAUAACUCAGUAGUUUUAGUGAAACCCUAUGUAUGAAAGUCUUCAUCACAUAACCACAGCCAUCCCUACCAUUCCCCCGGAUCCUCAGAAAAUGUGAAGGAACUGAAUACCUAGAAGAAGAAACUGGUCAUUGGCAUCAAGCUAGGGCAAAACUAGGGACACUGUGUGGUGCUGCUGGUGGCAGGGCAGUGUAAGGUGUAUCUCCUGUCAAGGGAAGAAUUUUCUCUGAGACUUAUCAAAUGGACUAAUACUACAUUCAUUCAGUAAAAUACUGAUUUGGAGGUCAAAAAAAGUACUGUCUCCGGCUAAGGAGAGGAAUAUAAAUAUAAACAUAAAGGGAUGUAAACUAUAUCCUUGGCUUUUGCCUCGUUUGCUUAAUCGCUUUUGUAUUCUCGGUUUGUAGAGCAUCUGUAUAACCCAUACAUGGCAAUAAUUUCAUGCACAAACUUUAGUAUGCACAGUGCUGCAGAAGUUGAACAAACCUUGUCAAUCACAGAACACAGGAAAACCUGUUGGUGGAACAAAUUUGCUGCAUGCUUUAACUGCAGUCAAAGAGGCCUAGCUUCCCCUGCAUUGUCAUGGUUUCUUGUUCAACUAGAAUUUCUUCCAUACAUCUGAAAUUUGCUCCAGGUUAUGAUGUUUUGUGGUCCAUCACAACAUGGCAUAUUAACAAUUGAUACUAUAUAAUCCACGAUGAAAAUAUGCCCUUAAUGCUCCAUGACAAACGGAAAGAACUUCAGUAUCUUAUUUAAAACAGUAGAGGGGAAAUGGAAUACAGCCCAGCUCUGUAGUUUAAAUUGAUCCUUUCUGUUAAAGAGAAAGGGGUAUACAAGUAAGAGGUACCUGAAACUUAGAUUAUUCAUACGAGGGAGUCAAUGGCUUAAGCUUUUCUGAGUUGGCUUGCCCAUUUUUUUAACUGCUUCCUAUCCACUAUUACCUAUUACCUAUUUCUGUAAUAAAUGUGACAGUAUAAUUUUGGAUAUGCUUUCAUGAUAUUAAAAUAGGCAUUCUGGAAAACUCGGUUAGCAUUUCAGUAUGACACUUCUAUAGAAUUAGAAAAACAGAAGACUUUACCCUUUUGAAAUCAACGAAAACAGUCCUUUGACUACUCGAGACUGCAGUUGCACCAUUUAAAAAUUUUCUUUUAACAUUCCACAGCACGAUAGAUGCAGUGCAAGCACAAAGAAAAGUGUAUGGUCUCUACUCCAAACAGCAAGCAUUGACAAUGAGAAAAUUUUCUGUUAUAGUCUACAAACUAGUUUCAAACUCUAUAGCCAUGUGGUUUUUAAUAAAUUCUAUAGGCUUUUAAAAUGUUAUCCACAGAUUCUCUCACUUUGAUUACUUUUAAAAAUCUAUCAUCCGUUUCCAGAGACCUACUUAUUAGUAUUAACAUUAUAGCGUUAAUACUUUUUGGUUCAGACUUGUUUUUAAGUAGUACAGUGUGACAGUACUGCAGGAGAAUAAUUAAUUAUAAUUUUAAAUAUAUCCAAAUAUUUUGAAAAAGAAAUAAAUGGAUGUGAUUACUGCAUAUGAUCUACUUAAUGCACAUGUAAGUAGAUAUUUAAAUAUUUUGCAUUUGCAACUGGAAUUGAGCCUUUUUAUCCUACCUGCAGCUGGGCUACAAACUGAGUGGAUAAAUAACAGGUGUUCUGGUUUCAGUGACUUAUUUCUCAGCUUCCUCAGGGACAGUUAAGCCACUAAAUAUUUCUCGCAUGUACCUUACAACAUAAGAGCCUCAAAUCAAAACCCUGUCAUUGUGGGAUGCCUCAUGUUGAGAUUAACCAUUCCCUUAUUUGAAGAUUUUUCUUCUGGAUCAGUGUCUGGCUGUUCUGGAACGGCCAAUGUUCAUGGCUGAUUCUAAACAAGCACAAAACCCUCCUGAUUUUCUUUCACCAAAAUUUGACUUGGUUUUCCUGAUGCUGCACAAUGCAUUUUAAUUAAAAGGUUUUAAGGAGCUGAAGUGAGAUAGAACCUGGAAGCUAUUCUACAUUCUUCUGUGCCUUUCAGUUCUUCCCUCUCCUUCCCUCCUCUCCUUCUACCAUGUCCAAGACAGACUGCACUGCAUCAGUGCGGUGGCAGAUGACCAACAGUGCUACAUUUAGCUGUUUGUAAUAAACAUGCCCUGAAUGAUGGGAAAUAUUUCCACCUUGGGAACUAAGUAUGAUGCACUUUUUCUUUCCCCCUGCUUGAAUGUGCAAGAGACAGGGA
Molecule: non-coding RNA, 6434 nt
Organism: Phalacrocorax carbo (great cormorant)
Lineage: Eukaryota; Metazoa; Chordata; Aves; Suliformes; Phalacrocoracidae
Source: RefSeq, a predicted model, not a curated record